UAUCUAACAAGGGGAUCUGAGGACUGCUUGCGUGUUUUGAACUGGCCACUGAACCUACGCCUGCUGGCCAAUCUAUCCCCUCUUCCUCUUUACCCUCUCACAUAGUCCACGUGUUUUACUUACGUCCUACAGUGAUUUUCAUUUCCUCGAGGUUUCAUCGGUCAGUUAAUAGUUAAAAAUACUGGCACGAAAGGUGAAAAGUGGAAAAUCAAUGAACGACGAAAGCCUGGAUUUAACUAUAGUUCUACAAUAUUUAAUUAUUGAAGAAUGUAACAAUCACUGGAUAAUCAAGAUGUUGAUCUUUCACUUCUGUAAAUACAUGAGAUUUAUAAUUCAUGAGAUGAGCAAGAAAGCUGACCAAUUUUCAGGGAAACCCUUUCUGUUGGUUUUUUUAAUUUUAAAUUACACGUAUAGCAUGAAUAUUUGACAACAAUACUAGAUAAUUACAACAUAUGAAUAUUUAACUUUUGGAGUGCAUGUUUGGUUGGUUUCACCCCAUCAGAUAAUCAAGAUUUAAAGAUAACUGGUAAAUUCCACCCCAUACUUAGAGGAAAAAAGUUCUAUCAUUUUCACAGAAUUUUCAAUUAAUGAAUUUCAUGAACUUCAUGAAUUAAUAAACCUCAAGAUAAUCUGCCAGUUUUAAGUAAAAAUUUAUUUUAAUUCAAGAAAUCAAUUUUAAUCUUUUUUUUUGUUCUUUUUCUUGGUAUUGAAUAAUUUAUAAUUGAAGGAUAAAGAAAAAAAUAGCUUUGAAUAGCAUAAUGCACCAUAAAGAAGUGCUUUUUCCUCAACAUUGGCACCUUUCUGCUCAUCAAAAAAUAUAAUUGAAAAUACAAUUUUCAAUUUAAGUCUGGCAUACAUCUUUAUUCUUGUAAAAAAUAUCACUGUUAGUCUAAUCUUGACGGGAAAAAUUCCAUUGAUGAAGAAUUUCUCAUCCAUUUAUUCCCCUAAUCUCGUCGUAUGGAGUGUCAUUGAGGGAAGAAAAAGAAAUCGAAUUUGGUAUAUGAUAGAUAUGAUAGAUCGGGGGUCAAAGCUUGACAACAUUUCGUUCUAAGGGGUUGGCCUAACCUUGGAACGUAUGUGAAAGCUUCUAUAGAGAACAAGAGAAGAGAAGAACGGAGAUGGAUGCAAGGGCGAGAAAAGAUGGGAAUAUUGGCCAAUCCUAAGCGGUUACCAAGUCAAACUUUAUUAUUGUUUCAUGCUCCGCCCUAUAUUUUUUUUUCUGUGAUGUUUAACGAAAAUUAUUGAAACUAGUUAUUUCUAUUACUCAACAUAUAGAACAAAGAUAUUAGA
Long non-coding RNA from Chelonus insularis, 1290 nucleotides. RefSeq lists it as uncharacterized. The record is from RefSeq and is a predicted model, not a curated record. NCBI's taxonomy places the organism in Eukaryota, Metazoa, Arthropoda, Insecta, Hymenoptera, Braconidae. The transcript is spliced from 3 exons.